UCUCUCAUACACUAUUUUUUCCAAAGUAUACUGAUUUCAGUCUGUUUGCAACCGGAGUAGGUAUAAUAUCUGAGCGUCAUUCAGUGAAAAAGAUUUCAAACGAUUUGAGUUUCUUUGAAAUCAAAUACAUAAAUUUUGGAGUAGUUUGAUUCUGUUGUUAAAUACAUACUAUGAAGCCGUAUUCAAACGAUAACAAAAUAAAAUUUUGGAUAAUUCAGUUGAUAGUAUGGAUUUUAGUCAUCGGGGGUUUAAUGAUACUUUACAACAAAACCGUUCCUACCUCAGAUAAAACACAAUUGUCGGAUGAAGAAAUGCAAUCGAGGGAUAAAGAAAUACAAUUGUCCGAUAAACAAAAGCAAUCGAGGGAUAAUGUAAUACAAUUGUCAAAGAAAUCGAGGAAUAAUAUAAUACAAUUGUCGGAAUCGGGGGAUAAUGUAGUAGAAUUAUCAAAGCAAUCGAGGAAUAAUGUAAUACAAAUGUCGAAAUCGGGGGAUAAUGUAGUACAAUUGUCAAAGGAAUCGAGGAAUAAUGUAAUACAAGUGUCGGAAUGGGGGAAUAAUGUAGUACAAUUGUCAAAGCAAUCGAGGGAUAAUGCAGUACAAUGGUCGGAAAUGUCGGAUAAACAAAAGAAAUCGUUCGAUAAAGCAAUGCAAAAGUUGAAUAAACGAAUGAAAUCGUUGGGCAAAGGAAUUAAUAAAAAACGUCAUUGGAUAAAGAAAAGCAUUCGUUGUCGAUGAGAAAAGGUCAAAGUAUAAAAAAAAUAUUCCAUAUCCAAAGAAGUU
Planococcus citri (citrus mealybug) is the source of this 782-nucleotide long non-coding RNA. RefSeq lists it as uncharacterized. The record is from RefSeq and is a predicted model, not a curated record. The transcript has 2 exons. NCBI's taxonomy places the organism in Eukaryota, Metazoa, Arthropoda, Insecta, Hemiptera, Pseudococcidae.